AAAUUAUUUGUCAUAACUUGUCGUAUAGGCUAGUAAAUAUGGACUAGCGUCUCUACCCGCCACCGUAAAAUGGCGGACUACGAAGUAAUGAUUUCUGAAU
RNAcentral lists this non-coding RNA (100 nucleotides) under Bacillus sp. (in: firmicutes). RNAcentral describes it as "Bacillus sp. Guanine sequence". It matches the Rfam family "Purine riboswitch aptamer". From Rfam's summary of the family: Riboswitches are metabolite binding domains within certain messenger RNAs that serve as precision sensors for their corresponding targets. The record is from RNAcentral. Lineage: Bacteria; Bacillati; Bacillota; Bacilli; Caryophanales; Bacillaceae.